AUACGGAGGAUGCGAGCGUUAUCCGGAUUUAUUGGGCUUAAAGGGAGCGUAGGCGGGAUAUUAAGUCAGCUGUGAAAGUUUGGGGCUCAACCUUAAAAUUGCAGUUGAUACUGGUUUCCUUGAGUACGGUACAGGUGGGCGGAAUUCGUGGUGUAGCGGUGAAAUGCUUAGAUAUCACGAAGAACUCCGAUCGCGAAGGCAGCUCACCGGGCCGGAACUGACACUGAUGCUCGAAAGUGCGGGUAUCAAACAGGAUUAGAUACCCUGGUAGUCCGCACAGUAAACGAUGAAUACUCGCUGUUUGCGAUACACUGUAAGCGGCCAAGCGAAAGCGUUAAGUAUUCCACCUGGGGAGUACGCCGGCAACGGUGAAACUCAAAUGAAUUGGCGGGG
This 393-nucleotide ribosomal RNA is filed under the name uncultured bacterium. RNAcentral's name for it is "partial 16S ribosomal RNA". It matches the Rfam family "Bacterial small subunit ribosomal RNA", at positions 523 to 918 of the family's 1533-position model. The record is from RNAcentral.